GGCGGCGUGCCUAAUACAUGCAAGUCGAGCGAACGGACGAGAAGCUUGCUUCUCUGAUGUUAGCGGCGGACGGGUGAGUAACACGUGGAUAACCUACCUAUAAGACUGGGAUAACUUCGGGAAACCGGAGCUAAUACCGGAUAAUAUUUUGAACCGCAUGGUUCAAAAGUGAAAGACGGUCUUGCUGUCACUUAUAGAUGGAUCCGCGCUGCAUUAGCUAGUUGGUAAGGUAACGGCUUACCAAGGCAACGAUGCAUAGCCGACCUGAGAGGGUGAUCGGCCACACUGGAACUGAGACACGGUCCAGACUCCUACGGGAGGCAGCAGUAGGGAAUCUUCCGCAAUGGGCGAAAGCCUGACGGAGCAACGCCGCGUGAGUGAUGAAGGUCUUCGGAUCGUAAAACUCUGUUAUUAGGGAAGAACAUAUGUGUAAGUAACUGUGCACAUCUUGACGGUACCUAAUCAGAAAGCCACGGCUAACUACGUGCCAGCAGCCGCGGUAAUACGUAGGUGGCAAGCGUUAUCCGGAAUUAUUGGGCGUAAAGCGCGCGUAGGCGGUUUUUUAAGUCUGAUGUGAAAGCCCACGGCUCAACCGUGGAGGGUCAUUGGAAACUGGAAAACUUGAGUGCAGAAGAGGAAAGUGGAAUUCCAUGUGUAGCGGUGAAAUGCGCAGAGAUAUGGAGGAACACCAGUGGCGAAGGCGACUUUCUGGUCUGUAACUGACGCUGAUGUGCGAAAGCGUGGGGAUCAAACAGGAUUAGAUACCCUGGUAGUCCACGCCGUAAACGAUGAGUGCUAAGUGUUAGGGGGUUUCCGCCCCUUAGUGCUGCAGCUAACGCAUUAAGCACUCCGCCUGGGGAGUACGACCGCAAGGUUGAAACUCAAAGGAAUUGACGGGGACCCGCACAAGCGGUGGAGCAUGUGGUUUAAUUCGAAGCAACGCGAAGAACCUUACCAAAUCUUGACAUCCUUUGACAACUCUAGAGAUAGAGCCUUCCCCUUCGGGGGACAAAGUGACAGGUGGUGCAUGGUUGUC
Molecule: ribosomal RNA, 1036 nt
Filed under: Staphylococcus aureus
Lineage: Bacteria; Bacillati; Bacillota; Bacilli; Caryophanales; Staphylococcaceae
Description: bacterial SSU rRNA
Rfam family: Bacterial small subunit ribosomal RNA
Source: RNAcentral